This 292-nucleotide ribosomal RNA is filed under the name uncultured bacterium. RNAcentral describes it as "partial 16S ribosomal RNA". It matches the Rfam family "Bacterial small subunit ribosomal RNA", at positions 505 to 796 of the family's 1533-position model. The record is from RNAcentral.
GUGCCAGCCGCCGCGGUAAUACGUAGGGACCGAGCGUUGUCCGGAUUCAUUGGGCGUAAAGAGCUCGUAGGCGGCUAUUCAAGUCGAACGUGAAAUCUCGGAGCUCAACUCCGAAACUGCGUUCGAUACUGGGUAGCUAGAGUCUGGUAGGGGGAUCUGGAAUUCCUGGUGUAGCGGUGGAAUGCGCAGAUAUCAGGAGGAACACCGGUGGCGAAGGCGGGAUCCUGGGCCAGUACUGACGCUGAGGAGCGAAAGCGUGGGGAGCAAACAGGAUUAGAUACCCCUGUAGUCC